Molecule: ribosomal RNA, 495 nt
Filed under: uncultured bacterium
Lineage: Bacteria
Description: partial 16S ribosomal RNA
Rfam family: Bacterial small subunit ribosomal RNA
Source: RNAcentral
GACGAACGCUGGCGGCGUGCCUAAUACAUGCAAGUAGAACGCUGAAGGAGGAGCUUGCUUCUCUGGAUGAGUUGCGAACGGGUGAGUAACGCGUAGGUAACCUGCCUGGUAGCGGGGGAUAACUAUUGGAAACGAUAGCUAAUACCGCAUAAUAGUAGAUGUUGCAUGACAUUUGCUUAAAAGGUGCAAUUGCAUCACUACCAGAUGGACCUGCGUUGUAUUAGCUAGUUGGUGGGGUAACGGCUCACCAAGGCGACGAUACAUAGCCGACCUGAGAGGGUGCACGGCCACAGUGGGACGGGGACCGGGCCCAGCCCCAUACGGGAGGCAGCAGUAGGGAAUCUUGGGAAAUGGCCGAAAGCCGGACCGAGCACCGCGGCGUGAGUGAAGAGGGUUUUCGUAUCGUAAAGCUCUGUUGAAAGAGAAGAAGGGGGGUGGGAGUGAAAAGUCCACCCUGUGAGGGUAUCUAACAAGAAGGGGGGGGCAAACUCCGUG